UUGGAUGGUUGUUUUGAAAGCUGUUACAUCCUUGUUUGAAUACAUUAUUGAGAGAGAAACUCAGAGUUUAAUGAGUAAUCUUAAGACAUAUUUGAUAGGAAGGCUCAGGAGCUCUUUUUUCUUGGCUGUAAAAGUGAAAAAUUUGUGGGACCACUUGAAAAAGCUGCAGCCCAAUUUACCAGCUUUUAAAAUCUCUCUACCUUGCUCCAGUUGCAUUAUCUGAUCUAUUGCCUCUGGCAUUUUUUCCAAAACCACUUGUUUCUCAGUAGCAGAAAUAUCUUGCCCAACUGGGAUGCAAUAAUUUCAAAGCAAGUAAAGGAAACUGCAGCUGCUCAGCUGAGUCAGCCAAAGUGGUCUGUAACUGUAAUCACAGAAGUGUGUAGAAGAUCUGAUUCAAAGCUUGCAGCGUGAGCUUUGUGUUCAUUUUCUGAGUGGAUUGAUCAAGUGGGUCAGUCGCUGUGAGUCUCCAGGUUGCACCCAAGAGCUGCCCAGCAUGGGGACGUACAACAGGGAAAGCUCAGAAGUUGGUUCUCUUCAGAGAAGUGGAAUGGAAAAGGGUUGUCGCACUCUGCAAGCCUGUGGGACAUGGUUUGGUUGUCUCGACUUGCCAUUUUACCCAUGACCUACGUUUUGGAACAGUCACAAACAAGAAGUGUUUCUUGUCAGAGUCUGGAGCAGUCAGCACAAGGAGCAGAGUGAAACUUCUGAGCCGUGGCAAAUGGUGCUGCUCCUGCUUAUUCACCUGUCUCCUUGAGCUCCAUCCGGCUGUUUUGGGAACGUUAAGUGUUGCUCAAAUAAAAAUAAAUGGCUUCAGCAUGACCGCAGAACUGACUGAGCACAUUCCCCGUGCAGGCUGUGCAGCACGUCUGUCUCCUACUCCCACAACCCCACAGCAGCUCCCCAGUUUUGGUGGCAGCAAGGCGAGCCUUUCUUCUGUCUUGCUGUGUGCUGGAAGUCUGCAAGGUGGCCACAUCAACAAGCCCACCACAGGAUCAGUGCCCCGGGUAACAGAUAUUGCUGACAGACAUGGUUUGGUCUAGAUCAUCACUCAGUACAGUUAUUCCUUGGCCUGACUCAGAUUUAGAUGUGCACACCUUGUCCUGGUCUAAAGAUUUAUCAACGUUCCCAAGCAAGCGCAGCUCCCAAGCUCACGUCGCAGCAAGGUGCACUGACUAGUGUGAAACUGGUCACUCACCCAUCUUGUCUUCAGUGGGGCUCUGGCCCUCUCACCAGCCACAGUGAUGUUUUCAGGACUGCACACUUUAUUUUCCUUGGGAGUUUUCCCAGAAAAGGAGCAUACCAGGAACUAGAUGACUCAGCUCUGGCCCCUAACAGCCAUCACUCGUGCUUCCCAGCUCGCCUGCUUGCUGCCUUUGUGAGGAGCUGCUGACCGUGCUGUCCCCCGUGCAGGGACCAGGGGCUGUCCCCAGGUGCCCGGGAAUGCGCCCACCACCCCCGGCGCUGCAGGACUUUCUGCCCAGCUCUGCGUGGCACUGCAGGACACACGGCGCCUGGCCAUGGCUCUGCAGCCUGAGCACUUAUUCCUAAUCGAUUCUGACAGCAGACACCACGAGGAAUGCUGAGAUUUAUGAAAGAGCAAGAUUUGCUACUAGCCUCUGUCCAUUAAAGAAGGAAGACGAGUCACUGAGAAAUAUUCUCUGCCCUUGGGAAAAAGCAGCAGUGAUGAUGAGCUCACCAGAGGACCCACAGUUCAAACCCAGGCAGGUUUCACUGUCAUGACCAGCCGUUACUCGAACAAUUAGAGCUCUCAUGACGUUACAGACUCCACACAUACCUCUGCAUUGAAUAAUUGUCCUUGAACAAGUUCCCGGACAUGAAUGCCGGUAUUAAUUUAGGUGUGGCCUGACAUUCAGAUCUUUUUUUCCACCCGUUUUUUCCUUUUAGGUUAUAAAAGACUGGCCCUCCUGCGCGCAUAUGGAAGCCAAGGACUGUGCUCUUCAGUUCUCAUGCUCUGAUGCACUUCCAGGCUUGCAACACCACCUCCCCCAACUUCUUCCAAAGAGCAGUUCUGCUUUUUGUGGGAUGAUUAUGUAUUAUUCCCCAAUCCACAGGCUACUACAGCUGGCAUUAAGGAGAUGGACAUUUUACAAAGAUAUUACCACCUUUGGGUCCCCAUGUCUCGCACCUAGUGAGAUGCAAGUGGCACAAAUCCCUCACUAUUACUGGCAGUCCUAGAAAAAGCAACUUUUGACCAUCUGAGAAACUGAAAAUCCCUUCCUGCCCUCCUAGAAGAGGACUCAGGUACAAGGAAAGAGCAGAAUUUUAAAUUAAAAAUGUGCACAGGAGCUAUAGAAAAACAGAGGUCAGCUGUGGAACACAUCUGUUACCAUCAUUUUGUCCAAACCCAAAGAGGGAAAGACUGCUCCCCCUCCUAUGAGGUAAGCUUAUGCAGCACGAUAUAGGGCUGCAGGGGUAGUUAGGUAUGUGCCAUCAUGGGAAAGCAGGUGCCUGCGACCUCAUGGCUGUAGGAGGAUGAUGCAGCUCUCCCUGGGCAGGGGCAGACACCAGUGCCUUGCUCACAGUGAGAAGUGGCAUCCACGUCCAUGCUGCAGCUAUCAAGGCUGUCCCUGUCUCACAUCACUUACACUAAGAUCUUGUCCAGGUUUUUUAUUUUCUAGUUACCUGCACCAAAAAGAGAGGACUGUAGUGUGUGCCACCAUGGUCCAUCCCCUCUCCCUUGCGCAGUGGGGAGUGAGUUGUGGGGCCAAGGUCUGUUGGCCACACUCUGCCAGGAGAGCAGGACAUGUGGGCAUGGUGUGGAGCGCUGGGGCGGCUCCAUCUCUGAAACGGGUCACUGCUCCGCUGCCAGGCAAGGGCGAGAACAGCCCCUCCCUAUGGAGGAGGUCUGCUGUCUGGGCGCAGCCUGCGGCAUUGCUGCAGGACAUUACUGCCUUUCACUCCCCGAGCCCUGCUGAGCCCAGGCAGCAGCUGUCUGGGUCCCAAGUACCAAUGGUGACACCUUUCCAAAGCUAUGACAUGGACUAGCGUGUGCAGUUGUCACCAAGACUGUAACAUGACAAUACAGGGCUGAUGUCUCACGUGGCCAUGGGACAUUUCCAUGGGGGUGAAUACAAAAGCAGGAGCCCAGCUGGAGCUCUGCCCUGCAGCUGGAGCACGCAGAGGCUUCAUCGGUGCUGAACACCCUACAUCCAGGAGUAAUCAAUGCCCAAAAUACCAACAGCCGCCCAGAAAAGUGACUGUCAGAGACACUUCGCAACAUGUGUAAGCUUUAAAAAAAAAAAAGUUUUUCAUGUUCAGUAUCUCUGAAAAAGGAAUCAGGCCACUUCUAUUUAGGAAACUCAUUUCAAGCACCCUAACACAGAUACUUUAGUCUUGGUCUGUAGGAGAUGUGAGUCUCAGCUGUGGCAUGAUCAAAGGAAGUAAACCACUGCUCUUGGGCUCGCUGUUCAGGCUGCCUCGUAAUCUAUAUAUACCUCACCAGCAAAGCUAGAGUAUUAUCAUCCAAUAUCAAAAAAUAUUUCAUAGUAAUGUGGUGUGCAAUUGAGGAACUCAAGAAAUGUCCCCACAGUGCUAUCUCAUAGAUGCCUAGACUGUGUGGAGAUUAUUUAGUUAUUAAGGUUUUAAUUAAACCCUUACAUGCACAAACACGUGGCUAAGGACUGCCUACAUCUCAACAGCAAGGCCUACAUCUCAACAGCAAGGCAUUAAGAUGAAUACAGGAUUUUUCUUUUUAAAGCUGAAAAUCAUCAACAAACACAAUUAACUCAGGUAACUAAAGGAGUAGCUUGUGAAAUUGCAAAAAUAUACUAGAAGCUGCUAAAGCACAGGUUCCUGGCCAGCACAUGGGACAGGCAAUCACCAGCCCCAAAUGUUCUUGCUGCCCUGAGGCAGCAAUGCAGGAGCUCACAAGCUCGUACUUGUGUUCCCUGCCCCAGGAGCCAGCCCUGCAGAGCUGAGGAGCAAGAAGGGCCUGCCCCUGGAGACCUGCAGGCAGGAGAAGCAAUCCCCUUCCUGCGCUGAGAGGGCGAGGGCAGCAGGAGCCCUGCCUGUGCUGGUGCCAACCCUGCCAGACUUCCCAGCCUCCGUGCCAGCCUGGGAGCAAACAGGGCUGUGACUGCCAUUCUCCAGCCUCGGUGACCUCCCUCCUCCAGCAGGUCCCACCACUCCCUUAAAAACAGACAGUCAGUUCACAAAUACGUUAUGUUCUUCAGUUUUAGCAAGGAUAAAACCCUAACAACAAUUCUACCCACACCAGCAAGAGAAAACAGCUUGCGGACUGGGAAGGCUGAAGGUAAACCCCCAUUUUCUGUCUGUCUCUGAGCCUGACACGCUAUGUGGUACCUGAAGUCAAACUGCUUUUUCACAAAUUGCAGUCCCUGGCACAACAGGCCCAUGCUUCCAGUCAGCACAUCCCCUUUUCCAAGCUGUCAGAUGGCUCUUCUCACUUCUGGGACAUGGCACAGCUGUGAAAGCGCCAGCCCAGGAUGGUCCCAUGUGCUAUCACCAUCCCCUGUGCCCAGGGAUGGCAAGGGCAGCCCGGCAGCAGCCGACCCUCCUGGCAGCCACACGCAGCUCACAGGUGCUGAGUUUGUGCCAAUUCCACACCUGCCCACCACUGUGGUGAAGAUCUCGCCUUGGGUAUUUAUUAUGCUCAAACCCGAGGGUAGUGAGAACCCAUUUUUCCCUGCCAGGGCUGAACUUUCAAUGAACAGGACUCGAGUUUGAGGAGAUGCUGCCAGGUACUCAAAAAGAAAGGUGUACUUUUGUAAGGGGGGAAUCCCCCUGGAAAUGCUGAGGAACUCAACCUGGAGAAACGGACUCUUGUAGCUCAAGUGCUCUUACAACUGACACUGAAGGGCUGCAAAGGACACCAGGUGAGGGUUGUUUCUGUUCUGAAUGGAAAGCAGUAUUAGGCAUAACUGCAUGCAGUAGCCGUGUGCCUGCUUACCCAAAAUCAUUCCUACACCAGUUUUACCUUUAUGUACUAGUUUUAAUUUAAAUCUCAAUGCAGAACUGUGAAUCAAAGCAACAGUCCAAAUGUUUUGUCUUUUCCUUUUGUAGAAAUCACCAUUGUUUUUAACUUACAUUCUCUUCUUAAUUUGACAGCAGAACUUGAGUUCAGAGUCUGUUAGCAGAACCUCAGCAGUCAAAUAAAACAUUUUUAAAAAAUUAUUUUAAAGCGAUUAUUCUUACUGAACACCAAAUACAAGUUUCCUUUUUUCAUAUUGAUUCAGUGUUAUUCUGCUAUAGGACUUCACGAAGCUGGAGCAGAGACACAGAACUUCAGAAUUCUCUUCCCUCUGAACAUAAGCAGACCAGAAAUAUAAUUUCCAGUAAUUUCUCUGUUUAGUUAACCCAAACCCUUUUCAUCAUAGGGGGUAUUGUUCAUAAACAAGCAGGACUUAGUGUCCUCAAUUCUGCUUUUACUGCAGUAGUGGAAGUCUUGACUUUCACUUAAUAAAUUGCUACAUUUGUAGGUGCAAACAAACGGAAUGUGGUCUUGACCACUAGGAAAUGUGAUCGACCCGGAUUUGAGAACAGAGAGUUUCUAUCCAGAGACUUGAAAUCAGGAGUACACAGUUACUUGCAAACUAUAGGUAGUUACAAGAAAACAUUUCAUUUAUAUUUUGAAUAUUCAUUUGACGCUCUGUUAUUGUAAGCUUAUUUAUCACUACAUAGAUUUACAAUUUUGCUUUUAAAUUAUUUAUAUGCACAUGGCUAAAAGGGAAAGUCUAAGCAGAACAAUAACAAAUUGUUCUGUUCGUGUAUAGUGAAUUACUCUCUAGCAUCACUCAUCCUUCUUUUCGAUUUACAACAUAAUAAUGUUUUACUGUAGUUUUCUAUUUAAUAAUUUGUUUUGUGAAGCAUUCAUCAAAGUUUGACUUAAAACAGUUCAUUCAAUUGAAAACAGACAUUAACUAACCAAGUGACUUGUGACACUUGGAAAAAAUGGGAUGAUUCUUUUACAAGCUGUAUUUAACCAAUGGCCAAAACCCCACAGUUUCCAGCAGUUUCCUAUUUUAAUUCCUAGAAAGAAUCUGAGAAGUCCCUUGAUGUCUCUUUCUGAGAUGGUGGUAAAAUGCAGUGGCCCAUAUAAUAAAAAGCUGAAAGACAUCAGUAGCCUAUUUUCCUUGAAAGAUGAGAUAACGCCUAAAAUCUGACUGCCUAUUCACGACGGAGCUGGGACCCCAGCUGGCAGCAUCGCGAGACGUUUCUCUGUACUGGCUUUUAUGCGGUGACCUGUUGGCCUCAGCCCGUUUCCUUACAGAAUGAUGUUCAAUUAAAACUCUCAAACCUGGCAUUUCAUUAAGAGGUGAGGGAUCAAACUGACCGUAUAGAUUGAUUUAUUCUCUCAGUCCAGAAACUUUAGACUGUGCUAGAGACAUAUUCGUGGAGAAGCUGCUCCUACUAUCUUGUAUCUAUGGAAAAAAUCGGGUUUUAUAUGGGUUGUUGGUCAAGGAUCAUUACAGGCAAUAACCUACUAGAUAAAACAAAUUCUCUCACUGAAACACGUUUGGAGCACUUCCACUGAAUUGAAGGGAAUGUACCAAACUUGAGAUCUAAGAGCUUCUUAGAAGUUUUUAAUUAAAAAGACACCAUUACUAAAGUCACUAUACACUUACUGAACUGAAGAGAUAAUAAUAAUAAUAAGCUACACCACAUUAGAAUUACUCCACGGUCUGAGAUGUGAUCUUAUAAGCUGCAUAUAUCCUUCUUCCACUUCAAUACUUACAGCAAUCCACAUACUCCAUUUUUGCUGUCAGGGUUUCUUAAAGGCUGGUACCUGGUCCCUUAAACUUCCUGCUCCUCACCAAGGGCUAAGUCUCCAGGAUGCUGUGCGGACGUGCAUCCAGAGCCUGGCCUAACUUUAGCACACCCUCCCAGCUAAACCCUAGCACACCGCAUGUAACGUGAGGUGCUCUCGUUAAAAGCAGUAUGUGGGACCGUGGAAAUUUAUGCAACAAUACUAAACUAUGGGGUCCCCAUUGCUCCUGACUUUCAGCCGGCUGUGGAUCGUCAUGCCUAGGCACAACUAGGAAUGGCUCCUGAGCUCUUUUGGUGUUGCUAAUUUUGGCAAUGGUGACUUCCCACAUAUUUAUAAGCAACUGCAUGGGAUGUGCUCAGCACUGAACCUGCCUAGACGGCACAAUGACAAAAUUAGUUUUCUACCCGCUACACAUUUUUAUUUAUGAUUUGCUGAAUUUUGGAACAGCUUUCCAUAACUCAUCUCAAAAAAAUGCCUCAUAGAAGUCAGCACAUGUAUUUAUUUCUACACAACCAUGUAUAAGUUAGUGAUCCUGCUUCCUUCAUCCAUGCCAUCAAGGUUUUUUUAAGAUUUUAAGUAAAUCUUCUCAUGCAGCUGGGUCAAACUCUCAGCUUUGCCCUCCACACCCUUCUUCUUGAAAAUGCCCACAUUUCACUUAUCCACAUUGUAGCCUCAAAUUCUCUAGGAAACUGAAACUAGUUUUACUGGCCAGAAGACACUGGCCAGAGUUUUGUAAAACUCAUCAUUUUAGGUCUUCUCAAAUACACCUGAGUUUCACCGUUUGUCUACCUUCUCUCGUAAGAUAUCCACUGCUAUGCUCAGGCCUACAUUUAGAAGUGAAUUGCCAAAAUACCGCGUAACAAGGGUAACAGAAAGCCACUCCUCGCUGGAAGUCAAUCUGUGUGAGUGCCUGUGGGAUAGGGCAGACGCAGGAAUUGGUUGAGGAGUUGGGUAUAUGUUACUUAAGGCAUUUGCAAUUACUGAGGUGGAUUUCUGAUCACAUUAGAGCUCAUUUCAACUGAGACUCAUUAAGGCCAAAUUGUUCUCAAAAUAUUAGGACUGACAAUCCCUUCCAAACAUGCAUAUGGUACACAGAUCAGUCAAGUGCUCAAUUAUCCUCUGUGGAGGCUCUUCCCUUUUUCUCCUAGAUUGUAAGGACAUUAUUAGACAUAAGCUACAGGAUUAGAUGGACAAUUGAUCUGAUCCAGCUCAACAGUUGCUGUGGGUCUGUGCAGCAAGACAUUUUUGUAUUAAACACAGCUACUAAGGAACAGAAAGAGGGAUAGUUAAGCUAGUGGAUUUGAUGAAUGUAUGGAAGUGCAUAUUAGGCAGAGAGCAAGAAAUAUUUCUACCUUUAUGAAAAAUAUUUCCACUUUUUAGGUUACCAGAAAAAUAUGCAGUUUCAUUGUCAAUAGGCUGGUAAAAACUCAUCUCCCACUAAAAUUAUAAGAAGUAGGGACACACAAUACGGGGAACAAUUGGAACAUUUUCCCUCAAUAUCCCCACUUGCCUUCUGUGGUAGCCGAACACGUAUGGAGCGGUCAGCAGCCUUACUGAAAGCCUCACUCCACUUCUAGGCACCACAUCUGGCUAUGAAAACUGCUGUAUGGAGAGAAGGUGGUGCCCCCAGAAAGCCUGGCAGAGCAGCAGCCGAGCAGAUUCACGUGGAGCUGGGCCCUUGAAGGGCUGCUCUUGGGAUCUGUCCUCAACAAACCACCCAACCUCUCCAAAUAUCCACUCUUGGGAGAAAGUCAGGACAAACUUCAACAAAACACCAGUACAUGCUUCAAGAAAACACCAACGCUAAUUCAUAACAACCUCCAAAAGGAAACACUGCUAUAAACAGGUUCAAUGUAGAAUAAGAACAUAUCGUGAAUACUUAAGAUUACACAGCUUAAAUACUUUACAGUGGUCUGCAUUUAAAUAAGCCAGUAACUUUCCUCUUUUGAGACCUGCAGCUGGUCUCUACUUUGUAGUACAUUCCCAUACAGAUUCUGCUUUGGUAUCUGUGAGAUGAUCUCUCCUCACCAAGUAUCUUAUUAAAGAGACCCAAAUCGUGCAACUAUGGAUUUGUUUCAUUUCCAGAAUUUUCUGCAGUUUGAUGAUCUAAAACUAAAUUAACAAACCAAACACCAUUCAUUCAUUCCUUGACACUUGAAUAAUGAGAGAUACAAAAUUCUUUGUUAUGUGAUAUGGUGGAAAAUGAACUUCAAACUACACCAUAUAGCAAAAUAACUACAUUAGUGGGAGUUCAGGUGGCAAAUGAGCAUCCAGCCCUACCUCUCCUUCUUCAGUACUACUAUGUGAGCAAGUCCACAGCAUAGUGAUACACACAAAUAGCAAGAAGCACAACUCUAACAAAAUCUUGAGGCAAUGAAGAAUACUGGUAGCAGGCUUUCAGUUACUGAGCGUUGAAGUGAGUCCGGGCUGUAUUCUCAAGCUUUUCAUUGUAAGCAGGAGGACUAAAAAGCCACGUUGCAAAAAGCAGGCAAGCUAGAUAUGGUCACACAAUUCCGUAAGUCGACACUUUAGGAAAAGACUUGCAGUAAAAGUCACACUGGACAGACCCACAGGUUUCAUGUUCUGUGACUGAUACAAGUUGUAAAUAUUUGCCACCCAAAAGUAAAGAACAAGACACUGUAGUUCUCACUUCACUGUCUUUUAGAGUAUUUUUGACUUGAUCAGGAUUAGGAGCAAGCUGCCAAUGUAGUUGUAAUUAUCACUCCAAUCAGAAUUACUGAAGUAAAGCAGAUUCGAGUGCAGGUUAUCUAAGGAUUUUUUUGAAAAAUAACCUUAUCCUGCCCAUACUUAAAGAGCAGAGCUAAAUGCAUUAGCAGGAUAUAUGGUGACACAAGGAAAACAGCUGUAUUCAGAGCAUGUGCCUGAAAAAAAAAAGAGCUUGUGAUUUACAUAAAGAAAGGAUCACCUUUCUGCUAUAAACAAACAGUGACAUUCUGGGAGUGACCCACAAAUAUACAGACCCUCCAAACCUCCCCAGUGAUUGACAUUUGCUAGAUAUUAGCUAACUAAAGACAUUGCUGUGCCCUAGAUCUAAGGGAGGCCAGCCUUUACAGAAUAAGCCAGCAAGGGGUUAUUUGGAAAAACCGUGGACAUGGGAUUUUUCUCAGUGCUCUCUUUACAUGUGAAAUCUCCAGCUCCCUGGCGUGAGAGGGA
RNA transcript from Grus americana (Whooping crane), 9922 nucleotides. RefSeq lists it as uncharacterized. The record is from RefSeq and is a predicted model, not a curated record. Lineage: Eukaryota; Metazoa; Chordata; Aves; Gruiformes; Gruidae. The transcript is spliced from 13 exons.